AUGGCAUCGGAGCACUCGUUGCCUUUUAAUGUUGCUGCUGUGGUUGAAGCCGUUCUUCAACAGCAGGGGACUCGUCUCACCGAUGUGGGAUUGGCUUCCAGGAAGGCAGAUGAAGCCUCCUUGAGAAGGUAUGAAGCAGCCGGGUGGCUUAGAAAGACGGUUGGAGUGGUGGGCGGUAAAGAUUUGCCAGCCGAGCCCUCUGAAGAAGAUUUUAGGCUUGGAUUGCGAAGUGGAAUAAUCCUUUGCAAUGUUAUUAACAAGGUUCAACCCGGAGCUGUGGCAAAGGUAGUUGAAGGCCCUUCUUGUGACUCCGUGACUAUUCCUGAUGGGGCAGCUCUAUCAGCAUUUCAGUACUUCGAAAACGUCAGAAAUUUCCUUGUGGCUGUGGAGGAAUUGGGGCUUCCAACCUUUGAAGCCUCUGAUUUGGAACAGGGAGGAAAAUUUGCUAGUGCAAGGAUUGUUAACUGUGUUCUAGCACUAAAAUCAUAUAAUGACUGGAAACAAACAGGCGGGAGUGGAUCAUGGAAAUUUGUUGGAAACUUGAAACCACCUAUCAGUGGGAAACCCUUUCUGCGGAAAAAUUCUGAACCAUUCAUGAGUUCCUUUACAAGGACCUCAUCAUGGGGCGAAAGUUUAAUUGUUUUGUCUUUCAAUAUCCAGAGUUCUUCUCAAUCCUUGCACGUGCUAGUACGUGAAGCUCUUUCGGACAAAAAGCAGGAAGAAAUUCCAUUUAUUGUGGAAUCUAUGCUGAGUAAAGUGAUGGAGGAAUUUCAGCAUCGCCUAGCAAGCCAAACUGAACUGGUAAAAGCACCUUCCAAAGAUAGCCCUGGCCCUAACUCAGAGUUUGUAUCUCUUUCAGAACCUGGUUCUGGUGAUGUGAAGAAUGAAGAGAGAGCUGCAACUCAAAUAAAGAAGGAUGAUUGUUGCAAUCAAACAUUUGACCAUCAAGAGGGAUCAAAAGGCCAGUUUAUGAAACAUAAAAUGUUGGUUGAACAACAAAAGAAAGAUAUUCAGGAAUUGAAACAUACUCUAUAUGAUACAAAAGCAGGAAUGAAAUUUCUACAGAGGAAGUGCCAGGAGGAGUUCAACAACCUAGGUACGCACCUGCAUGGUUUGGCUCAUGCAGCAUCAGGGUACCAGAAAGUUCUUGAAGAAAAUCGCAAGUUGUACAAUCUGGUGCAGGAUCUGAAAGGCAAUAUAAGGGUAUACUGCCGAGUGCGUCCUCCAUCGCCUGGGCAAACAAAUCAUUCCAAUACUUUUGAUCACAUAGAUGAUGGAAAAAUUACAAUUGUAACCCCUUCAAAAUAUGGCAAAGAGGGGCGGAAAUCUUUCAGUUUCAACAAAGUAUUUGGCCCAUUCUCAACCCAAGAGGAGGUAUUUUCAGAUACACAGCCUCUCAUUCGGUCUGUUCUUGAUGGUUACAAUGUCUGCAUAUUUGCUUAUGGACAAACAGGAUCAGGAAAAACUUAUACAAUGACCGGACCCAGUGAGAUUACGGAGGAAAGCCGAGGUGUAAAUUACAGAGCAUUGAGUGAUCUGUUUCAUCUAUCAGAAUUGAGAAAGGACACCAUUCACUAUGGAAUUUCUGUUCAGAUGCUUGAAAUUUACAAUGAGCAAGUUAGGGAUCUCCUUGCAGUUGAUGGCUCUAACCAAAGAUAUCCUUUAUGAGUCCUAACCCUACUUCAGUUUCUAGAUUGUGAUACAUUAGAAAUUCGAAAUAGUUCUCAAAACGGCAUUAAUGUACCUGAAGCGAACCUUGUACCUGUAUCAUCAACAUCUGAUGUUAUAUAUUUGAUGAACCUUGGGCAUAAGAAUCGUGCAGUGAGUUCUACCGCCAUGAAUGACCGGAGCAGUCGAUCUCAUAGCUGCUUGACUGUUCAUGUUCACGGAAGGGACCUGACAUCUGGAAGCAUUCUCCGCGGUUGUAUGCAUCUAGUUGAUUUAGCAGGAAGUGAAAGAGUUGAUAAAUCCGAGGUGACUGGUGAUAGAUUAAAGGAGGCACAACAUAUUAACAAAUCUCUGUCAGCUUUAGGAGAUGUCAUUGCCUCUCUUGCUCAAAAGAAUUCACAUGUUCCAUAUAGAAAUAGUAAACUAACACAACUACUCCAAGACUCGCUCGGAGGGCAAGCAAAGACACUCAUGUUUGUUCACAUUAGCCCUGAGUAUGAAGCUCUUGGAGAAACAUUGAGUACCCUCAAAUUUGCAGAACGGGUUUCCACAGUUGAACUUGGUGCUGCUCGAGUCAACAAAGAUGGUGCAAAUGUUAAAGAUCUAAAAGAACAGGUUGCUGCUCUAAAGACAGCCUUGGCACGAAAAGAAGGUGAGGAAAAACACUUGAAACAUUCGCUCUCCCUAAGCCCAGAAAGAUUUAGAAUGAAGUCUACUGGCUCUUCUCCUUUGCAUCCAAGCAGGAAAAGUAUUGGAGAUUCUUCUGGUGGUCGCAAGCAACCAAUGGAGGAUAUUGGAAACAUAGAGGUUCAUCAAACCUCUUCAUCAAAGCCAAAAAGGCGGAGUUUAGAUCUCCAAGACAUGUUGAUGCAUUCACCUCCAUGGCCACCAGUUGCUAGUCCUAGAGUGAUUGGGAAAGAGGAUGAUAAGGAGUUAUUUUCAUCAAUUCCUGGUGACUGGGUUGAUAAGGUGAUGGUGAACAAGCUUGAGGGUAAAAGUAGAGAACAAAGCCCAUUAAGAUCAUGUUGGGAUCAUGUGGACAACAGACAGUUACCAGAGAUGUUUGGUGAGAGUCGCCUCCCACACCCUUCCAUCAUAUGUUCAACAACAAAUAAAGAUGAUAGUCAAGAUUUUAACGAAUCUGAUGAUCAGCUUGAUGCUACCACAAGUGAUUCUUCAGAGCCAGACAUGCUUUGGCAAUUAAAUGGUCCUACUAAAGCUUCAAACAUUCCAAAUGGGUUGGGACCAAAAGCAAAGAAAACCAACUCCAGGUCAAUAAGGAGCCCAGAAACUAGAAGUUUCAUUCCAUCAUUGAUUCCUUCACCGUCGCGGAAACCGCCCAAUGGUGUUAGUCAAGCUUUACCUAAGAGGCAAUCUGUCUCUGCUGAAGGCAAGCGAAGGUAUAGGAGUGCAAAGUGA
This is an RNA transcript of Fragaria vesca subsp. vesca, 3087 nucleotides long. It is a transcript of the gene named kinesin-4-like, with no coding region annotated. The record is from RefSeq and is a predicted model, not a curated record. Lineage: Eukaryota; Viridiplantae; Streptophyta; Magnoliopsida; Rosales; Rosaceae. The transcript has 19 exons.